Molecule: ribosomal RNA, 440 nt
Filed under: uncultured bacterium
Lineage: Bacteria
Description: partial 16S ribosomal RNA
Rfam family: Bacterial small subunit ribosomal RNA
Source: RNAcentral
CCUACGGGGUGCAGCAGUGGGGGAUAUUGCACAAUGGGGGAAACCCUGAUGCAGCGACGCCGCGUGGGUGAAGAAGCGCCUCGGCGCGUAAAGCCCUGUCAGCAGGGAAGAAAAUGACGGUACCUGAAGAAGAAGCCCUGGCUAACUACGUGCCAGCAGCCGCGGUAAUACGUAGGGGGCAAGCGUUAUCCGGAUUUACUGGGUGUAAAGGGGGCGCAGACGGCGAUGCAAGCCAGGAGUGAAAGCCCGGGGCCCAACCCCGGGACUGCUCUUGGAACUGCGUGGCUAGAGUGCAGGAGGGGCAGGCGGAAGUCCUGGUGUAGCGGUGAAAUGCGUAGAUAUCAGGAGGAACACCGGUGGCGAAGGCGGCCUGCUGGACUGCAACUGACGUUGAGGCCCGAAAGCGUGGGGAGCAAACAGGAUUAGAUACCCUUGUAGUC